UUUUUCUGUGUUUUCUCCAUACAAUCAUUCCCCAAAUUCCUUGAAGAUAUACAGAGAUAAAGUUGCUAUUUCUGCCGAUUCUGAAUUUGUUCUUCAGUUUGCAUGUUUGGAUUGUUUAAGUAAAGGCUUCGCUUGAAGUUGAUUUUGUGUGAAGGGAGAUUUUCCUGUUUUUGUUUUGUUGUGAAUUGAUUUGUACUGGAAGUGUUUGGAGGAUGAGAGAUCUGCGUUGAGUGUAUGUGUUUACGAAAUGGCUACUUCUGAGAAUUGCCGGAACGCUGCCGGCGCCGGAAAAGUUGAUGCUGAGAAAGCGUUGUACACGGAGCUAUGGCGAGCAUGUGCAGGUCCGCUUGUGACAGUGCCAUGUGAAGGCGAGCUGGUGUUCUAUUUCCCACAAGGUCAUAUUGAACAGGUUGAAGCAUCAACAAACCAAGCUUCAGACCAGCAGAUGCCAGUAUAUAAUCUUCCUUCUAAGAUCCUCUGUCGUGUGAUUAACGUCCUGCUGAAGGCUGAACCCGAUACAGAUGAGGUGUAUGCACAAGUGACUUUGUUGCCAGAACCAAAUCAAGAUGAGAAUGUGGUAUCAAAGGAACCGAUGCCCUCUCCGCCACCACGAUUCCAUGUGCACUCUUUUUGUAAGACAUUAACAGCCUCUGAUACCAGCACUCAUGGAGGAUUUUCUGUCUUGAGACGGCAUGCUGAUGAAUGCCUCCCGCCUCUGGAUAUGUCUCGGCAGCCUCCAACACAGGAGUUGGUGGCCAAAGAUUUGCAUGCAAAUGAGUGGCGCUUCAGGCACAUAUUCCGGGGCCAGCCUAGGAGGCACCUUCUUCAGAGUGGUUGGAGUGUCUUUGUUAGUUCGAAAAGGCUUGUUGCAGGGGAUGCAUUCAUAUUUCUUAGAGGUGAGAAUGGGGAGCUUCGUGUUGGAGUCCGACGUGCCAUGAGACAGCAGGGUAAUGCUCCAUCAUCAGUGAUAUCCAGUCAUAGCAUGCAUCUUGGUGUCCUUGCUACAGCUUGGCAUGCUAUUCAGACGAAAACACUGUUCACAGUAUAUUAUAAACCAAGGACGAGCCCUGCUGACUUUAUAGUUCCAUAUGAUCAGUAUAUGGAGUCUCUGAAAAACAAUUACUCCAUCGGGAUGAGGUUUAAAAUGAGGUUUGAAGGUGAAGAAGCUCCAGAACAGAGGUUUACUGGAACUAUAGUUGGCAUUGAAAAUGCUGACCUCAAAAGGUGGCCUGAGUCAAAAUGGAGAUGCCUGAAGGUUCGAUGGGAUGAAACUUCUGCUAUUCCUAGGCCAGACCGAGUUUCACCCUGGAAAGUAGAGCCAGCUCUUAGCCCUCCUGCACUUAAUCCACUUCCAAUACCAAGGCAGAAAAGGCCGCGAUCAAAUGUUCUGCCCUCGUCUCCUGAUUCUUCUGUACUUACUAGGGAAGGUUCAUCCAAAGUAGUUGUAGACACUUCACAAGCCAGUGGGUUUUCAAGAGUUUUGCAAGGUCAAGAAAUAUCAACCUUGAGAGGCAAUUUUGUAGAAAAUAACGAGUCGGACUCUUCUGAGAAGCCACCUAUAUGGCAACCAUUACUGGAUGACGAGAAGGCUGAUGUUCAUUCUGCGUCAAGGAAAUGUAUAUCAGAUAAACGGCUUCCUUUAGGGAGGCCUGAAUCAUCUUUUACAGAUCUUUUAUCAGGUUUUGGGGGGCAAUCUAGUUCAUCUCAUGGAUUCCAUUCACCCACUGGGGGCCAAACAGCACCUGCUAGCUGGGUUAAGCGACAAGCUCUGGAUAAGGAAACUGAUUUCAGCUUACUGGCAAAACAAUGGUCUCUAGUGUCUUCUGGUCUCUCACUUAAUCUGAUGGAAUCAGGAUUGAAGGGUGCAGAUACUCUGUAUCAAAUGCGGGGAACAUCUCGACUCAAUUGUUUUAACGAGUAUCCAACCUUCCCUGGUCAUAGACCUGACAAUCAGCAGGGAAAUUGGUUAAUGCCCCCGUCCGUGCUGCCUUAUAUUCAGAUGUCCGCUCAUUCUGGAGAAAUUAUGCCUAAACCCAUGGCUUCACCACAGCCCGAAGCCAUGAAACCCAAAGAAGGGAACUGCAAACUAUUUGGCAUUCCCCUUGUAAGUAAAUGUGCCACCAUAGAUCCUGUCAUGUUGCGGAAAAAUUCCCCGAUUCACUCAACAAGUAACAUGCACUUUGGUAUACAUCCACAUCAAUUCCCUAUAAUUGAAUCUGAUCAAAGGUCUGAGCAAUCAAAGGGAUCAAAGCUACCAGAUGAUGGCUUCAUAGUUCAUGAUCAGGAAGAACAAUUCCAAACCUCUCAUCCUGGUACUCGAGAUAGAGAGGGCAAAGGCCUUGUUCAUUCAACAAGGAGUUGCACCAAGGUUCAUAAACAGGGUACAGCCCUUGGAAGGUCUGUUGAUCUUGCAAAGUUCAACAACUAUGAAGAAUUGAUAGCUGAACUGGAUCACAUUUUUGAUUUUAAUGGUGAGCUCAAGGCUCGUAACAAGAACUGGCUGGUUGUAUAUACUGAUGAUGAGGGUGACAUGAUGCUUGUUGGAGAUGAUCCAUGGUAGGAAUUUUGUGGUAUGGUUCGGAAGAUUUUUAUCUACACGAAAGAUGAGGUGCAGCGGAUGAACCCUGGGACUCUCAAUUCAAAAGGCGAGGACAAUUCUUCUGUUGCAGAAGGCUCUGAUGCUAAAGAAGUGAAGAAUCUACAGCUUCACAUUGAUUCCAGUCCGGAAGAUUCUUAGAUAAUAGAGAAGUCCUCCUUAAUUGAGGUUUAUUAAAAUCUGUGGAAAAUACUAUAUCCACCCAGCUGUUGGCAUUUUUAGGGAUUCUGGAAGGUGGUUACCCACAUCAAAGUCCCUUUUAGCUUCCGGAUGGCUGGUCUCCCCAUUGAUGCAGCUUCUGUAAUUUGCAGUUUCGACCCUUUUUGGCGCCAAAUUAUGAUGACUUAUCUAUAUACAGAAUACAUGAAUUAUCAGCCUGGUCACAGUCUUGCUUUCGCUUAUUUCCUUAUGUACAUACCCAGUUUUAACAGUUCUUCUGGCAGCUCUAGAUGUAAAUAAGAAAAUGAUACAACAGCAUAAUUUAUGUACAACUUGUAGCCAACUGCUUUGAGUUUCCUCCGUAUAUCAGGCUAUCAGCAGUUGUGGUCAUCCGGGUGAACAUGUCAUGCAAAAUAUUGGUCUUAUUGAUCAAGUUACUGCUUCGUCCCUUUUGAUUAACCGUGGUUGACGCUCACAUAGGGCCAAGUUCCUUCUGCAAACAUCGGGCUAUUAUAGUAGACAUAGUCAGUAUUUCUGAACUGGAGCAAAUUCUCCAAAGCUUGGUGACACCAUGGUGUGGCAAUUUGGUGCCGUUUUGUUACCAGAGUACUGGAGGCCCAGAGCUUGGCCUGACAACAUAGAAUUGGUUCAGUUGUUGAUCGACAAGGUUGCAGAACAAUGUGGGGUAUUUGGAGGAAGUGGGCGAUUUCAUUGAAACUUCAUAUUGCAGACAGCAAGUAGAUGUUGCCAAAUAUAGGUAUUUUAAAGUUAUCUUCAUGUAGCAUAUGGUUGAUGGAUCUUGUGCCGUCCACCCAUGGAAUGAUGAGUCCAGGCUCCCUCUACUGUUCUUUUAGUAUCUGAUGUUGCUGGAUUUCUUGUAUAUAAGAAAAGGUGUCACUGAAUUACUUUUGGUAAAUCAUUGCUUCUAUGAAACAAGCAUCGUAGUGCAUGGAUUUUGUGUCUAGCAAUCCUUGGGACUGGAUGGUGCUGCUGAAUAUACUAUGGUAUCGGGGCUUCUUUUUGCUGCUGCUUGUUUAACUUAUUUAAGCAGUAGCCAUAUCAUUUUAAGCUUUACUUUGUUUAUCUCGAUCCUCCGCCCCUUUCUCCCUCAUUGUAUGAACACAUUAAUGGAGCUCGACUAAAAUUGAUCUCUUAUGAUGAAUCUGUUGAUAUUUGUGAAA
This is a non-coding RNA of Solanum lycopersicum (tomato), 3936 nucleotides long. Lineage: Eukaryota; Viridiplantae; Streptophyta; Magnoliopsida; Solanales; Solanaceae. The record is from RefSeq and is a predicted model, not a curated record.